RNAcentral lists this ribosomal RNA (163 nucleotides) under Moeroris melleri. Its description in RNAcentral is "Phyllanthus melleri 5.8S ribosomal RNA". It matches the Rfam family "5.8S ribosomal RNA". Rfam says of the family: 5.8S ribosomal RNA (5.8S rRNA) is a component of the large subunit of the eukaryotic ribosome. It is transcribed by RNA polymerase I as part of the 45S precursor that also contains 18S and 28S rRNA. Lineage: Eukaryota; Viridiplantae; Streptophyta; Magnoliopsida; Malpighiales; Phyllanthaceae. The record is from RNAcentral.
AAAACGACUCUCGGCAACGGAUAUCUCGGCUCUCGCAUCGAUGAGAACGCAGCGAAAUGCGAUACUUGGUGUGAAUUGCAGAAUCCCGUGAACCAUCGAGUCUUUGAACGCAAGUUGCGCCCAAAGCCUUCGGGUUGAGGGCACGUCUGCCUGGGUGUCACGC